GAACUGAGACACGGUCCAGACUCCUACGGGAGGCAGCAGUGCUGAAUAUUCGCCAAUGCGCGAAAGCGUGACGGAGCGACGCCGCGUGCGGGACGAAGGCCUUCGGAUUGUAAACCGCUUUCAGGGAUUAGAAAACCCGUGUAGUGAACAACUAUGUGAUUGUAGUCCCAGAAGAAGCACCGGCUAAUUUCGUGCCAGCAGCCGCGGUAAUACGAGAGGUGCAAGCGUUGUUCGGAAUCACUGGGCAUAAAGGGUGCGUAGGCGGUGCAUCAAGUCGGGUGUGAAAUCCCUUCGCUUAACGGAGGAACUGCACUCGAUACUGGUGCGCUAGAGGGUCAAAGGGGCAAGCGGAAUUCUAGGUGUAGCGGUGAAAUGCGUAGAUAUCUGGGAGAACGCCAAGGGCGAAGGCAGCUUGCUGGGUGACAACUGACGCUGAGGCACGAAAGCUAGGGGAGCAAACAGGAUUAGAUACCCUGGUAGUCCUAGCCGUAAACGAUGAGCACUUUGUGUCGGGAGACCUGAUUCUUUCGGAGCCGUAGCAAAUGUGUUAAGUGCUCCGCCUGGGGAGUAUGGUCGCAAGGCUAAAACUCAAAGGAAUUGACGGGGGCCCGCACAAGCGGAGGAGCAUGUGGUUUAAUUCGAUGCAACGCGAAGAACCUUACCUGGGCUUGACAUGCUAGAAGUAGAAUCCUGAAAGGGGGACGAACCGUAAAAUCGGUAACUAGCACAGGUGCUGCAUGGCUGUCGUCAGCUCGUGCCGUGAGAUGUUGGGUUAAGUCCCGUAACGAGCGCAACCCCUGUCGUCAGUUGCUACCAGGUUAUGCUGGGCACUCUGACGAGACUGCCGGUGUUAAACCGGAGGAAGGUGGGGAUGACGUCAAGUCAUCAUGGCCCUUACGGCCAGGGCUACACACGUGCUACAAUGGCAGGUACAGAGG
RNAcentral lists this ribosomal RNA (938 nucleotides) under uncultured Planctomycetota bacterium. RNAcentral describes it as "bacterial SSU rRNA". It matches the Rfam family "Bacterial small subunit ribosomal RNA", at positions 316 to 1245 of the family's 1533-position model. The record is from RNAcentral. Lineage: Bacteria; Pseudomonadati; Planctomycetota.